GCUUUAGCGAUGGAUCGGUUGAUUCGCGUAUCGAUGAAAAACGCAGCAAGCUGCGUUAUUUACCACGAAUUGCAGACGCUUAGAGUGGUGAAGUUUUGAACGCACAGCGCCGUUGGGUUUUCCCUUCGGCACGUCUGGCUCAGGGUUGUUUAAU
This 154-nucleotide ribosomal RNA is filed under the name Heterorhabditis bacteriophora. RNAcentral describes it as "5.8S ribosomal RNA". It matches the Rfam family "5.8S ribosomal RNA". From Rfam's summary of the family: 5.8S ribosomal RNA (5.8S rRNA) is a component of the large subunit of the eukaryotic ribosome. It is transcribed by RNA polymerase I as part of the 45S precursor that also contains 18S and 28S rRNA. Lineage: Eukaryota; Metazoa; Nematoda; Chromadorea; Rhabditida; Heterorhabditidae. The record is from RNAcentral.